RNAcentral lists this transfer RNA (54 nucleotides) under Dipodomys ordii (Ord's kangaroo rat). It matches the Rfam family "tRNA", at positions 1 to 53 of the family's 71-position model. From Rfam's summary of the family: Transfer RNA (tRNA) molecules are approximately 80 nucleotides in length. Their secondary structure includes four short double-helical elements and three loops (D, anti-codon, and T loops). The record is from Rfam by way of RNAcentral. Lineage: Eukaryota; Metazoa; Chordata; Mammalia; Rodentia; Heteromyidae.
GGGAAGAUGGCUCACUGGUAGAGUGCCUGCCUUGCAUGCAUGAGGCCCUGGGUU